UACUAUGUGUAUGAGAUGGAGGAGGAAUACACAUCUAUUGGCUCAUGAUUAAUAUGUUCUUAAGGUCCCAAGGCUCCCUGCUCUUCAGAGACUCUCUCAGAGCUUAACUUUUCUCCCACUACUUCAUUUUGGUUAAACAGUUUUUCAAGAAGGUAGCAUUGAGUCACAAUCACAUUGUAAUCCCAUCAGAAAGUAAUAUCCC
RNAcentral lists this long non-coding RNA (202 nucleotides) under Elaeis guineensis (African oil palm). RNAcentral's name for it is "long non-coding RNA (EGUI_LNC077873)". The record is from RNAcentral. Lineage: Eukaryota; Viridiplantae; Streptophyta; Magnoliopsida; Arecales; Arecaceae.